GGGGAUGCCACGGUUUUGACGUUGUGAUUGGUAUAUCCGGAUUGCGAGUCCGAGAGCUGUUCUCGGUUAUCAACGGGCAAACUAAAUUAAACGACAAUAACGUUGUUUCUAUGGCUGAUUACAGAGCACAAAGACUCGCUGCUUAAUUAAGCAGUUCAGCCCGUUCAUCCUGACCAGCUUGCCGUCAGGAAUUGAGCGACCGUAUGCAAGACGCAGUACGCAAAUGAUGGUAUGCGUAUCAAGUUAACCAUUGGAGGUUAGACUUCCGUUAAAAAGUCUUUGACUUCGGUCAGGUUUAGUAACUUUCCUUACGAAUGUCGAGAUAAUAAGUUACUACACUCGUAGACAUCAGUUUGUAUCCGCAUCGGACGCGGGUUCGACUCCCGCCAUCUCCACCA
Molecule: transfer-messenger RNA, 398 nt
Filed under: Candidatus Gastranaerophilaceae
Lineage: Bacteria; Bacillati; Candidatus Melainabacteria; Candidatus Gastranaerophilales
Also listed under: 1 other name
Description: CAG-196 sp902763805 Standard tmRNA
Rfam family: transfer-messenger RNA
About the family: Bacterial tmRNA, also known as 10Sa RNA or SsrA, is named for its dual tRNA and mRNA-like properties. Its role is to liberate the mRNA from a stalled ribosome.
Source: RNAcentral